GAGUAUUCAGCCGGUGAGGUCUUAGCUUUGCAAAAGCUAGUGAAAGAAAUUUAUUUCUUAAUACUUU
Molecule: transfer RNA, 67 nt
Filed under: Pseudanoplocephala crawfordi
Lineage: Eukaryota; Metazoa; Platyhelminthes; Cestoda; Cyclophyllidea; Hymenolepididae
Description: tRNA-Cys
Source: RNAcentral